GUGGUGGUGCAAAUGUGCCUUUGUGGUAGAGCACGUGUUCCUGACAAGAUGAAACGCGGGUUCGAUUCCCGCCUGAGGCU
Molecule: non-coding RNA, 80 nt
Organism: Parelaphostrongylus tenuis
Lineage: Eukaryota; Metazoa; Nematoda; Chromadorea; Rhabditida; Metastrongylidae
Source: the annotation of a GenBank genome assembly